This 399-nucleotide long non-coding RNA is filed under the name Homo sapiens (human). RNAcentral's name for it is "HSALNT0407158". Lineage: Eukaryota; Metazoa; Chordata; Mammalia; Primates; Hominidae. The record is from RNAcentral.
CUCUUGCCUGUUGCCGUGUGAGGUGGGGUUUUGCUUCUCCUUUGCCUUUCGCCAUGAUUGUGAAGCCUCCCCAGCCACGUCGAACUAUAAAGAAAUACAGGCUCUGAAAUGGCAUGUGAUUUGCCCAAAGUCAGUGAGCUACUAAGUGAGAGGUGGAAGAGAAAGUGAGGUGCCUGUCUUUAGAACUCAGACCUUUAUCUUCAUCUUCUGAAAGAAAUGAAAAUGUGCUCAAAAUCCUGCCACUGGGAACUAUCAACAGAAUUUACAGAUCAUUAGACAUUUCUCCACGCAUACUACAAAUAAAAGGAUGGAAGAAAGAACAGAGAUUUUUUUGUGAAAAUAAGAUAUUGUAACAUGCUCUUUUUAAACAAAGGUACAACAUUAGAAUUUAAACUCAAC